This is a long non-coding RNA of Pan troglodytes (chimpanzee), 4064 nucleotides long. The record is from Ensembl. NCBI's taxonomy places the organism in Eukaryota, Metazoa, Chordata, Mammalia, Primates, Hominidae.
GUCUGCUAACGGCAUUUUUUUUUAUUUCCCUCUAGGCAUUUCUUGGGGUUCGUGAUAUAAUUUAUCUGUCAUGUAGUAUUAACAAUAUACUUUUCAGGGACUUAAAGAUUAGUGGGGCCCCUGGGCUGUCUGUCUCAACUUGCUGAGCACUGAACGUCCUUCACAUUGUCAUGCCUCAUCUCUAAUCUGGCUUUUCCUUUAAAACAAUUAUAAUAUCGGAGGGUUACAUGGGCUUCACAACAGUGCCCUACACUCUUUAUGACCAUUGCUAAUUGGCAAUUAGUCGAAAUUUUAAUUCUAUAAUGUGUUUAGGUUAGCAAUUUGGUGAGUUAGGGAGGAGCAGCUUUGGCCUUUGGCAAUUGCAAAUCUGAGUUUAUCUCCCCUCUCAAUGUGAACAAGCACAAGUUCAAGCGGUGCCCUGAGUGACAGCAUUACAAUAUCAUAAUCAUUUACAGAGCGUCCGCACAGAAAGAAAUGAAUUUUGGGAAAGCAUUCAGCAGCUGCAGGACUCCCUUAGAUGGCUUAAUAAAAGUAUCUUAAAAAGUAUGAAAGCCCUUGCUGUUUCAAAGUAAAAUGAAGUAGCUAGCCUAUGUGGACAGCCCUCCAGCCACUCUCAUUGAGCCUUCAGGGACUCCACCAGAAAAGGAGACAUGUUUGUCUCCAGGCGCCAGAGGCUCAGGUCACAAGAACUCAGAAACACCAGGACCACAGUUUGACAGCCAACUUCAAGGCACAACUUUGGGUUGGCGUGUUGACUCUAGUACCUGACAUUGGUUUCUACCCACGGAGCCAGCUCUGUGAAAAACUGUGCCGCAGGGACACAGUGCUGACUUUUCACCGACCUCCACUUAGAACCAGCCUUCCCCCCACCAGGAACCUGGCAACUAUCCUUGUUGCGUUUCCAGCUGUUACACUGAACAUUCCUAGUCCAUAGGAACUAGAAGAUUUGUUUAACAGGAACAGUGGCUUGAACCUGGGAGGUGGAGCUUGCAGUGAGCUGAGAUCACACCACUGCACUCCAGCCUGGGCGACAGAGCGAGACUCUGUCUCAAAAAAAAAAAAGAAAGAAAGAAAGAAAGAAAAAAAUCAAAAUAAGAGAAAUGCAGUCUACAGUCUCUUUCAAACUUCUGCAACCACAGCCCUGUCUGCACAGGACACCUGUUGACAGCUUGGAGAUUACCAGCGCUCUGACCGUGACCUAGAGAAACGCCAGGCAGGCGCUCUACAGAACUCCAAACUUGAUUCCUUACAAUGACAAUACAAAGCAGCGAAUUGACCUUGCCUGCAACAGAACAGGUCAAAUACCAAAGGGAGAAGAGCAAUAAAGGAAAUAAAGUCUUUCUGUGCCAUCGUUCAUCACACAUUUCUUUCUACAUUCUUACAUCUCUGAAGCACGAAACCAGGACGUGUCUCAGAGUCAGUGGCAUCUGACAAUCUCUGUCUGCCUUAUGGUAAUUGCAAAAGAGUUCUUACCAUCCAACCAUGACUGAACAUCAGCAGUGUGGGGAAAAAAAUCCUGAAAAAAGAGAGGCACACUCUUGAGUUCUGGUAAGAACUCAGAAUCAGUUGGCCGUGGAAGACAGGUUGGGAGGGAGUGCCAAGAAGUGAUCAGCCGCAUUCCUGAAACACAGCACACUAGCUCUCCCCUGAAUUCCAAAGCCAAGUAAAAAGCUCUGUGCCAAUGGUCUUUUGCUACUUUAUAGGUUCUUUUAAGAAAUGAUGAGUCACCAGUGUCUUCAAUGUAAUAGGUAUCUACAAAAUCAUGGACAUCAAUGAUGCUCAAUGAAGAGUGAGACAGAAGAACUGAACUCUUGAUGUAAAGAAGCUUAGGAAUACUUUAACCCACCUUAGGAAUACCUUACCCAACCAACCUUGAAAUUUUCCCAGUCCUCAGACAGCAUGAGGCUGUCACAGAGGCAAACCUUUCCAACCAGCUUAGUCCCAUUUACCUUCCUUGUUCUUGUAGGCGUAAGAGUGACCAAUGAUAAAAACUUGUGUCUAAGUUCAAACGGUUCUUUCAAUAAGCAUAAAAUAAAAUCAAAGUGAUAAGAAAACUUUAGAUCACAGCUUAAUGGGCAGUGAUUUUUCCUCCUUCAUGGUAUAUAAAAUGACGGGGCACUUAAACUCAAUUGUGACUUGGAAUUAAUAAAAUGGGUAACUGGCUUUUAAAAAGAGUAUUUUACCCAAUUCUCUCUUUCUCUCUAAAACAUUUUGGAUUUUAUUCUUGAAUAGCUAAAAUUCCCAAGGAAAUUCAAUUCACUUCCUUUAGAGUAAAAUUUUGAGAACUGCCCUUGGUUACCUUAUUCUUUAAGGUCUCGGAAUUGUCACUCUGCUCUUGCUGAAAGUGGCAAGCCAGCCACCUCCUAAAGCAAAUCUCCAUAACAGGCUUUCCUCAAGAACAAGGCUUUGCCUUAGACCAAGUCUCCAGAGAAAAUUUGGCCUCUUCUAAGUUUGUGUUUUCCUCUGCAAUUCUCUUUUUAUAGUUGAAGCUAGUGGUAAGGUCAUCCAGCCUCAGCUGGUCUCAAUUAUACCCCUCUGUCUGAAGCAGAGGCUGGGGGACACCCAGCACUGUCUCUGGCUCCUUCACUUCCCCUCUAUGAAAUGACAGAAUUCAAUAAGAUAUUUUCCAGGUCCCUACAGCAUUAAUUCUAUGCUUUAUGUUGACUUCUCAAAAAGACCAAAAGUAUUGGUAUUUCCUUUGUAUUGUAUACAAAACAAGUAUAUUAUAUGAAAUUAACCAUUUUGCCUUAAUAAGCAGAUAUAGAUCUUUUUGUUUUAGUUUGGUUUUUUUGUUUGGUUUGGUUUUUGUUUUUGUUUUUGUUUGAGACAGAGUCUCGCUCUGUCGCCCAGGCUGGACUGCAGUGGCACCAUCUCAGCUCACUGCAAGCUCUGCCUCCUGGGUUCAUGCCAUUCUCCUGCCUCAGCCUCCCAAGUAGCUAGGACUACAGGCGCCCACCACCACGCCCAGCUAAUUCUUUUGUAUUUUUAGUAGAGACGGGGUUUCACCAUGUUAGCCAGGAUGGUCUCGAUCUCCUGACCUCAUGAUCCACCUGCCUCAGCCUCCCAAAGUGCUGGGAUUACAGGUGUGAGCCACUGCGCCCAGCCCAACAAGCAGAUAUAGAUCUUUACAACUCUCACAGCAUACUGCUGAUCAAUGAAACAUAUAAAAAAUUAACAUUUUUCAAAAAGUCACACAACAUAUACCAGCAACACUCUGAAUUGUUUGCCUUCUGUUUUUUGUUUGUUUGUUUUUUGUUUGUUUUUUUGAGACAGAGUCUUGCUCCAUCACCCAGACUGGAGUGCAGUGGCAUGACCUUGGCUCACUGCAACCUCCACCUCCCAGGUUCAAGCAAUCCUCCUGCCUCAGCCUCCCGAGUAGCUGGGAUUACAGGCGAGUGCCACCACACCCAGCUAAUUUUUGCGUUUUCAGUAGAGAUGGGGUUUCACCAUGUUGGUCAGGCUGGUCUCAAACUCCUGACCUCAGGUGAUCUGCCUGCCUCGGCCUCUUGAAGUGCUGGGAUUACAGGCAUGAGCCACUGUGCUCGGCCUCUGUUUUUUAAAAUUAUUUAUUUUUUCAUCCUGAAAGUAACCAGAUGUGCUAGGUCUUAACAAGAUUCCUAAAUUGAGAUGGGCAGUGAUGAUGAAGUUAACUAUUAAUGUUAUCUACAGCUCCUAGACUACAAGGCUGUGAGGUCAAGUUCAUAUUCUCUUUGUUUGCUGUGAUAUCCUGAGCACAGAACAUGGUGCAUAGUACAUAAGCAUAAACAGCUAUUUACUGAAGGAAGAAAUUAAUGACUCAAUAGCAUUGAGAAACAGGAAAUGAGGGAAAAAUUAAUUUUUACAUGCCUGCUACGUAUGUACAUUUUAUACCACUGCAAAUAAGUACAGAUAAUUUAAUUAAACUAACAUUCUUCUAAACUUUCUCUCCUCCAGCACACAGUUCUGAAAUACAGAAACAACACUUGCAUUUUUAUUGAUCAUAGAGCAAUGGGUGAUUGAUCUUGAAAUCUGUAGGAUUAUUUGUAGUACACAUGCACAUGCAUCUUUUCAAUCACUGAUUAUCA